This 484-nucleotide ribosomal RNA is filed under the name uncultured bacterium. RNAcentral's name for it is "partial 16S ribosomal RNA". It matches the Rfam family "Bacterial small subunit ribosomal RNA", at positions 30 to 507 of the family's 1533-position model. The record is from RNAcentral.
AGUGAACGCUGGCGGCAGGCCUAACACAUGCAAGUCGAACGGGUGAAAAGGGCUUGCUCGUGGAUUCGAGUGACGAGUGGGAAGUAGUGCCGAGGAAGCUGCCAACCAGGGGGAGAUAGGGUCCGUACACCGGCGCUAAUACCGCAUAAGGCCGGAGGGCGCAAGUGGGGGAGCUUGGGACCUCACGCGAUGAGAGGAGGGUAAGGGGGAAUAGCUAGUUGGUGGGGUAACGGGUUAAAGAGGAGACGAUGCGUAACUGGUCUGAGAGGAUGAUCAGUCACACUGGAACUGAGAAACGGUCCAGACUCCUACGGGAGGCAGCAGUGGGGAAUAUUGGACGAUGGGGGAAAGCCUGAUCCAGCCAUACCGCGUGUGUGAAGAAGGUGCUCGGAUUGGAAAGCGCUUUAGGUUGGGAGGAAGGGAAGCACGUUAAUACCUUGCUGUUUUGACGGUACCCACAGAAUAAGCACCGGCUAACUUCGUG